This 253-nucleotide ribosomal RNA is filed under the name uncultured bacterium. Its description in RNAcentral is "partial 16S ribosomal RNA". It matches the Rfam family "Bacterial small subunit ribosomal RNA", at positions 524 to 776 of the family's 1533-position model. The record is from RNAcentral.
UACGGAGGGUGCAAGCGUUACUCGGAAUUACUGGGCGUAAAGCGUGCGCAGGCGGUUUGUUAAGUCCGUUGUGAAAGCCCCGAGCUCAACUUGGGAAUUGCAGUGGAUACUGGCAGGCUGGAGUACGGUAGAGGAAGGUGGAAUUCCCGGUGUAGCAGUGAAAUGCGUAGAUAUCGGGAGGAACACCAGUGGCGAAGGCGGCCUUCUGGACCAGUACUGACGCUCAUGCACGAAAGCGUGGGGAGCAAACAGG